RNAcentral lists this ribosomal RNA (464 nucleotides) under uncultured bacterium. Its description in RNAcentral is "partial 16S ribosomal RNA". It matches the Rfam family "Bacterial small subunit ribosomal RNA", at positions 339 to 795 of the family's 1533-position model. The record is from RNAcentral.
CUACGGGCGGCUGCAGUCGAGAAUCAUUCGCAAUGGGCGAAAGCCUGACGAUGCGACGCCGUGUGAACGAAGAAGGCCCUCGGGUUGUAAAGUUCUUUCGCCUGGGAACAAGCGACACUAGUGAAUAAUUAGUAAAGUUGAGGGUACCAGGUAAAGAAGCACCGGCUAACUCCGUGCCAGCAGCUGCGGUAAUACGGAGGGUGCAAGCAUUAAUCGGAUUUAUUGGGCGUAAAGGGCGCGUAGGCGUUUUAGCAAGUCACUUUUGAAAUUCCGCGGCUUAACCGCGGAACUGGAAGUGAAACUGUUAGAAUUGAGGGUAGUCGGAGAAAGUGGAAUUCCACGUGUAGCGGUGAAAUGCGUAGAUAUGUGGAGGAAUACCGGUGGCGAAGGCGACUUUCUAGACUGCACCUGACGCUGAGGCGCGAAAGCAAGGGGAGCAAACAGGAUUAGAUACCCUGGUAGUC